This 295-nucleotide ribosomal RNA is filed under the name uncultured bacterium. Its description in RNAcentral is "partial 16S ribosomal RNA". It matches the Rfam family "Bacterial small subunit ribosomal RNA", at positions 332 to 620 of the family's 1533-position model. The record is from RNAcentral.
CUGGCCCUACGGGGGGCAGCAGUAGGGAAUCUUCCACAAUGGGCGAAAGCCUGAUGGAGCAACGCCGCGUGGGUGAAGAAGGUCUUCGGAUCGUAAAACCCUGUUGUUAGAGAAGAAAGUGCGUGAGAGUAACUGUUCACAUUUCGACGGUAUCUAACCAGAAAGCCACGGCUAACUACGUGCCAGCAGCCGCGGUAAUACGUAGGUGGCAAGCGUUAUCCGGAUUUAUUGGGCGUAACGGGAACGCAGGCGGUCUUUUACGUCUGAUGUGAAAGCCUUCGGCUUAACCGGAGGA